This 325-nucleotide ribosomal RNA is filed under the name uncultured eukaryote. RNAcentral's name for it is "partial 18S ribosomal RNA". It matches the Rfam family "Eukaryotic small subunit ribosomal RNA", at positions 1470 to 1796 of the family's 1831-position model. The record is from RNAcentral.
CCCUUAGAUGUUCUGGGCCGCACGCGCGCUACACUGAUGCAUUCAACGAGUGUACCUUGGCCGAGAGGCCUGGGCAAUCUUUUGAACGUGCAUCGUGAUAGGGAUAGAUUAUUGCAAUUAUUAAUCUUGAACGAGGAAUUCCUAGUAAACGCAGAUCAUCAAUCUGCAUUGAUUACGUCCCUGCCCUUUGUACACACCGCCCGUCGCUCCUACCGAUUGAGUGGUCCGGUGAGGCUUUGGGAUCUGAGCGGAAAGAGCGUUUCGCUGUUUCUGCCCGGAAAACUCAGUCGAACCUUAUCAUUUAGAGGAAGGAGAAGUCGUAACA